CCCUUAGAUGUUCUGGGCAGCACGCGCGCUACAAUGGUCUUCGCAAACGGAUGCAUUCUCGAAGGAGAAUGCCAAUCUUGGAAUCUAUGCCUUGGUCGGGACAGUUGCUUGCAAUUUUUCGACUCGAACCAGGAAUUCCUUGUAAUCGUGAUUCAUCACAUCACGAUGAAUACGUCCCUGCCCUUUGUACACACCGCCCGUCGCUCCUACCGAUCGAAGAGUUAGGUGAAUUGUUUUGAUCGAUAAGAUUUGUCUAUGGUCAACUCUCGUUGUGAAAUUCUGUGAAUCUGACUGUUUAGAGGAAGGAAAAGUCGUAACA
RNAcentral lists this ribosomal RNA (319 nucleotides) under uncultured eukaryote. RNAcentral's name for it is "partial 18S ribosomal RNA". It matches the Rfam family "Eukaryotic small subunit ribosomal RNA", at positions 1470 to 1796 of the family's 1831-position model. The record is from RNAcentral.